This is a non-coding RNA of Paramormyrops kingsleyae, 1148 nucleotides long. Lineage: Eukaryota; Metazoa; Chordata; Actinopteri; Osteoglossiformes; Mormyridae. The record is from RefSeq and is a predicted model, not a curated record.
UUGUCGGAUUUAAGGUAGUCUGGGCAAAAUGUAAGUGAACGAAUAUGAAGUCCAUUUAAACUGUGGUACCUUACAUCCGACAAGUUACCCCGAUAAGCCAGUAACCCCGCUUCGUAGUGCAGGCCACUGUAAUUAGAAUAGGGCUUAGAAACUGCUCAAACGUAUCUUCAACUACACAAACUAGGAAUAAUAUCAGUGAAUGCAAUGGAAAUGCAAUGCUAAUUUGAAGUCUCUUUUUAGAGAACUCAUUAUUUAGUAUUUGCAGUCAUGAACCUCAUUCAUUAAUGGGCCAUUCAGAUGUAGAAUGGCUAAUGUGCAAAUUCGGAAUUUUCUUGAUGUGUGCUCUUUAACUUGCGUCAGCGAACCAAAAAAGGCUGAGUUAAUGAAUGAGAUCGGAUCAGGUGUCCUGAUGCUGCGCCGGCGUCCAUCCCCGCACCCACACACGUUAUCAGCCACGCGCCACCGGGGGGCGGCGUCAUUAGCCGGGAUGACGCGACGCCCGGGCCGCCUGGCCGCCCCGGCUAGCUGGCUCCACCGAAAACAUCGAAACACCCAGCUUGUGUACGUGUCCGUAGUACUACCGCAGAAACAUAAACUGACAAAACCGCCCGGGACAUGCUGUAGACAUCGGUUUGCAGUUAGUAAGAUAUCAAGGAAACGGAACAUGCAAUGCCGGAAGUUGAAAACGACGUUUAUGGGAUCUCCGUCUCAAUCAGGCCGUCCAUGUAAACUAUCUGCUAGGAGAGAGAUGCUGACCACCGAUCAUAUAAUGAAUCAAUUGCAUCAACGUUAUUGUUUUUCUCCAAGACUGAAUAGCCAUUACAAGAGCAUCUUCGGUGUGAAUUAAGUACACCAAGAUCUCAGCCAAUGAACAGCAGAGAAGAGAAAAUAGAUUUGAGAAGACAACUGCACAUGUAGUUAAACAGGAAGAUUUAUAUACACAGCAUUUCACGUUUUCACCAAUUACACUGUAGGAAUGCUACGAAGAAGGUUAUGAACUUUAUUUAAUCCAUGCUGCACGCAACAGUUUCGAACUCUUGGUGGUGCUGCGGGCUCCUGAUCAAGCAUGAAAAACCAGAGAGUGGCACGUUCAUAGUCAUUUUAUGAUUCUUUUUUUUCAGUCUCAUAAGAUGAAGAAAUAAAAUUGG